Molecule: long non-coding RNA, 2360 nt
Organism: Mizuhopecten yessoensis (Yesso scallop)
Lineage: Eukaryota; Metazoa; Mollusca; Bivalvia; Pectinida; Pectinidae
Exons: 2
Source: RefSeq, a predicted model, not a curated record
CACAAAAGUCAUCUAAACAAUCACAUUUAUGUUGAUAAUGUAAAUAUAAAUCAUUUGUUGUACAUAUCAUUUAUUUAAAAAAGAAACACACUUGUCAAGGUAAUACCAGCAUGUAAACCCAGUGUAAUCGGUUACUAGUUACUGCUUUGCUUAUCUUCUGUUGGAAAGGUUUUUGGGAAUAUAUUAAGUCUAACUGCCAAAACAUUUGUUCAUGAUUUCAGUGUGCAAUAUGUUAAUACAGAAGGGCAUAUGGUAUAUGUUUACGUUAUAUAGCUCUAUCUGUACUAGCAUCUCACAAGUUAGUAAUGGGUCAUGCGAGUUUUUAAACUGUCAUCACACAAUAAGACAAAUUUUGGAGAUUACUUGUUUUUACAAGUACAUGCAAAUUUAAUAGAAAUCAGCUGUUCUUUUAAAAUUUGGUUCAUAAGAAAUCAUAAUCAAAAGUGGUUUUAAAGUGUUCCUACCAACAGAAAAGUUUCAAUGUUCUACUUAAUUUUGUUACCAGUCACAUAUCAUGUAUUUAAUUAGGUAUAUGGGUUAUAAACAAAAUUAGUCUCAUAUCAUGGGUUAAGCUAACAAGUUUAUGUUAAAAGUAUUGUCAUUUAACCAUUUGUAGUUUUAAACAUAUUUUAUUGCCAUAAGGAUACAUACAGCAAAGGAAUUGGGCACAAGCUACAUUACAUUAUGGAAGCCCUUUCCCAGUCGAUAUCACAUGCUCUGUUAGUUUGUUUGAGAAAACGCACGCACGAGUUGAAUUGUCGCGGAGUAUAAGCAGGUUCUCUGUAGAGCUAAUUGAGAUGGUUUGCUAAAUAGAACAUUUUAUUGUAGCUAUAGAAAUAUUUUUGAUAUUGUUAUAUUGUCUGUUGUAGAUGUGUGAUAAUGUAAUUCUACUAGUAUGUGCAUAUACGCAACUGUCUUUGUGUGGAAAUUUGUUUGUAGUAUUAAAUAUGUAUAAGAUGGAUUAUAUUUUGUACAUAUUUGCUCUAAUCAGUCCUGAUUUCACACAUGUGGGGUAAAACUUGACAAUGAAGAAAACUGUAAAUAUUGGAAACUCUUUCUCUGUUGAUUCCUCUUUGGAAUCAGAUGAUCUGAAGAAAAUGUCUCCUGGGUAAUUCAGUGGGAAUUUUAGAAAAUGUUUCUUUAAGUUAUACAUUCAUAUGAAAAUAGUUUAUCAGAUGAAAUUGUUUUUGUUAAUUAUCUGUCAGAAAGAAGAAAAAUGGAUUACCUGGUACAUUUGAAUUCAAUACAAAAUAGUAUCAACUUAAUUUGUCAUUUUGGUUUUCCUGACUUAUUUUCUCUCCAGUAGGAAACUUCCUGAUAUACAGGUACCUGUGUUCCUGUUAACACUGCCAUGAUGUAUCCAGUUAUACAGGUCCAUUUACACCUUGUUUAUGUAAUAGGACAGUAAGUACAUUACUGCUAUUAUGUGGGGCCAUCUAUGAUCAAAUUCAGGUUUAUUCAAAUAUGGUUAUUUCUUUGUUCAAAAUGUGUGAUUUCACAUUCCAGAUGUAGGAAUGAAAGGUAUCUUACAUUUACCAAACUUCUACCAUGUUUCUUACAUUGACAUAUUUACAGCAUGAUGGUAACAUCGUAAAGGUUAGGGGCAGUCACUUUGGAAUCAGUAUUUCAUGUUACAUAUUUGUGUGAAAAUUGUAUUAAUAGUUUAUAAGAUGAAACAGCUUCUUUUUUCAAAGUCUGCCUUUUCACCAUCAGCAUUGUGAGAAUUGUUGUACAUGUAUUUUAACGGAAAGUUGUCAUUUAUGGAUAUGUAUUGGCGACGGUUUAUACUUCUAUAACACUGCUGUUCAUUAAUAAUUCUAGUCCUAUUUUCCCCCCCGUCAUCUAAUUUCAUUUUUAACCUUCAUUGUGCUUCAUGUUGUGAUAAUUCUGUUCAGUUAUAAUCAUAACACACCCGUAUUUCAUCGUCAUUUCCAAUAGCUGUAAGAACACAUUAUUUUGCUGAUAUUUGGGGAUAGUUGACAGAUUUUUUAAUACCAUUGAUAAUUUUAUUUAGUUCAUGUUUGAGAAUUUUUCAACAGACUGGUUUCCCCGACUGUAUUGUUAUGAUUUACUAGUUAUUUCAUUGGCUCCCUUGAAAAAAAAAAAUGUUAGUGAUGUUAUCAAGUCAUGGCUUAAAAAGUACAUAAAUUUACACAUUGUUUUACAGUCACAAAAUGAUGUAAACAUACAUGCAUUGUUGCACAGGUAUAAUGUUUGUGAGGUCAGAAAACAGUACAAUGGCAUUGUCUCGGAUGUACUCGACACUUGAUCGUGUGAUUGUCAUUAUCUUUGUGCCAAUGUUGUAUUGAAUGCACUAGUAUAUGUAAUCAUUAAAUAUUAAAUGACUAUUGUACAGUUAA